UGUUACAGUUUUUUGCAGUCAGAACUUGAAGAAAGUGCUAUCCCCUGCCUGUCUAACCUGAAAAGUAGCCAGGGGCCCAAGGGUCACAAGAGGCUCCAGGGACAGGUGAGGGCCUCUUCUCUGCAUCACCACUCAAGCAGCAUCACCAUAGCAACCCCAGGAGUAAACAAUGGUGCCAGAAAGGGCUUCCCCACAAAGCCGCCCCUCCUGGCUCUGAGGCCCAGAAGAAUGGCCAGUAACCGGCAAAGAUCACUCAGAGGGCCCAGUCACCCAUCUCAUAUGGAAGAACCUUUCCUGCAGGUAGGGGGUGGCCCAUCUCUGCCGCCUACCUUUUUGUACCCCACUGGGCUACAGGCUGUCCCUUAUAGUGGGCCAGGCUUUCUUCUGGGCAGCAGACUGCCUGGCCCAUACAUUUUCUGCUGUCUUCCCCUUUUCAUCCUAUGACACUAGGAACCCAGAGCUCAGAACAGAGAGGAGAUGCCUGGCUAGUGCCACAUCUCCCAGCCCCACCCACUGGGGUGAUCCUGUAGAAAUGACUUAGGGGCCCAAGCUCAAGAAACAGGUGGGUUUUUGCAAUCAGAAAAGUCCUGGGGGCCAGGCACAGUGGCUCACGCCUGCAAUCCCAGCACUUCGGGAGGUCGAGGGGAACGGUUCACCUGAGGUCAGGAGUUUGAGACCAGCCUGGGUAAUAUGGCAAAACCCCAUCUCUACUAAAAAAUACAAAAAUUAGCCAGGUAUGGUGGUGAACACCUGUAAUCCCAGCUACUUGGAAGGCUGAGGCAUAGGAGUUGCUUGAACCUGGGAGAUGGGGGUUGUAGUGAGCCAAGUUCGUGCCAUCGGACUCCAGCCUGGGUGAAGGAGUGAGACCCUGUCUCCAAAAACAAACAAAAAAGGAGCAGAGAAAGACAGUGGUACAGCUAACCUGAACAAGGGAACUGGGACCGUUGGGCUGAAACAGUCUUGAGCCUGGGGUUGACUGGGUUAGAGAAGAACCGGGAUGCAAGGAGCUGCCUGUGACACCUGGCCUGCCCUUUCUCAGCUGCCUCCCCUGCCCUUUCUCAGCUGCCUCCCCUGCCCUCAGAAGGAAAGGAGAGGGCUCACUUAUCACUUGUGCCAUAGCACCUGGUCUCAAAAUCCUAAAAGCUUUCCUCGCCCUCACUGCCUUGCUCCACAAGGUCCACUUUCCUGGGUCUUGUGCUGUGCCUUUCCUUGUCUGCCUCCUGCUGCUUCUGUAACUGCAGACCCCAGGCCCAAUGGCAAGCCCUCGGCUCAGCUGCUUCUCCAUUGGAAUAAACUCUUGUUUCUCUAUGUCGAUGUUCUUCUCUGGUCUUCCUCCCUGCCUAUCAAGAGCUGAGUGAUAAUUGCCCAUUGUCCCUUACAGAAAGGAAAUGUAAAUGUGGGCCCUUGCCCAGGCUGACCCAUCUGACUAGGGUCAGUAUAAUUGAGAGGAAUUUGAAAGCAAUGGCUUUCAAACUCCUCGACCACAGCUUACCACAGCAGGAAUACAUUUUACAUGGCACUCAGUACACACAUGCACAUAUGACUAACAAAACAAUACUUACCUACACUGAGAGCAAUGUACUCUGCU
RNAcentral lists this long non-coding RNA (1588 nucleotides) under Homo sapiens (human). Its description in RNAcentral is "HSALNT0366170". Lineage: Eukaryota; Metazoa; Chordata; Mammalia; Primates; Hominidae. The record is from RNAcentral.